ACUCCUACGGGAGGCAGCAGUGGGAAUAUUGCACAAUGGGCGCAAGCCUGAUGGAGCGACGCCGCGUGGAGGAUGAAGGCCUUGGGUCGUAAACUCCUGUCAUAAGAGAACAAGAAAGUGAUAGUAUCUUAAGAGGAAGAGACGGCUAACUCUGUGCCAGCAGCCGCGGUAAUACAGAGGUCUCAAGCGUUGUUCGGAUUCAUUGGGCGUAAAGGGUGCGCAGGCUGCGUGGUAAGUCGAAUGUGAAAUUUAGGGCUCAACCCCUAAACUGCAUCUGAUACUGCCAUGCUAGAGGACUGUAGAGGAGAUUGGAAUUCACGGUGUAGCAGUGAAAUGCGUAGAUAUCGUGAGGAAGACCAGUGGCGAAGGCGAAUCUCUGGGCAGGUCCUGACGCUCAUGCACGAAGGCUAGGGGAGCAAAC
RNAcentral lists this ribosomal RNA (421 nucleotides) under uncultured bacterium. RNAcentral describes it as "bacterial SSU rRNA". It matches the Rfam family "Bacterial small subunit ribosomal RNA", at positions 335 to 773 of the family's 1533-position model. The record is from RNAcentral.